CACUGCGGAGACCUCGAACAACACAGACCUGACUGGAGGCAGCCCUGUCAGAAGAGAUGCUGGUCAGACCCACUGCUGGAGCAGAGGAGGGCACGAUCACAUGCGAAAAGACGUAGGUUCAAGUCCUGGCCCUGCACUGGCUGGAGACCCCGUGAUGCAGAGCAGAACUGGACUGGAACCCAGACCAUUCACAUACCAGCUCUCCACCUCCGGGGCCUGCAACCAGCCACUCUGACCCUCAAUUUCCUCAUCUGU
Molecule: long non-coding RNA, 255 nt
Organism: Choloepus didactylus (southern two-toed sloth)
Lineage: Eukaryota; Metazoa; Chordata; Mammalia; Pilosa; Megalonychidae
Exons: 3
Source: RefSeq, a predicted model, not a curated record